AGAGUUUGAUCAUGGCUCAGGAUGAACGCUAGCUACAGGCUUAACACAUGCAAGUCGAGGGGCAGCAUGUUGGUUGCUUGCAACCAACGAUGGCGACCGGCGCACGGGUGAGUAACGCGUAUCCAACCUACCCUUGUCCAUCGGAUAACCCGUCGAAAGGCGGCCUAACACGAUAUGCGGUUCACGGCAGGCAUCUAAGGUGAACGAAAUGUGAAGGAGAAGGAUGGGGAUGCGUCUGAUUAGCUUGGUUGGCGGGGUAACGGCCCACCAAGGCUACGAUCAGUAGGGGUUCUGAGAGGAAGGUCCCCACAUUGGAACUGAGACACGGUCCAAACUCCGUACGGAGGCA
Molecule: ribosomal RNA, 349 nt
Filed under: uncultured bacterium
Lineage: Bacteria
Description: bacterial SSU rRNA
Rfam family: Bacterial small subunit ribosomal RNA
Source: RNAcentral